This 516-nucleotide ribosomal RNA is filed under the name Triticum aestivum (bread wheat). RNAcentral describes it as "partial small subunit ribosomal RNA". Lineage: Eukaryota; Viridiplantae; Streptophyta; Magnoliopsida; Poales; Poaceae. The record is from RNAcentral.
AUGGAAAAGCUCGCCUUCAGCCACUUCGUGCAGCUGUUGGGAAGCACGGCCGAGAGGAAGCACACGGUUAACUUGGCGGAGUUGGAUCUAUCUCAUGAGGAGCUUGCGGAGCUUGACGAACCUGUCAUGGCGAAGGAGGUUUGGAAGGCCAUCAAAUCGUUGCCGGCCGACAAGGCCCCUGGGCCAGUUGGGUUUCCGACACAAUUUUACCAAGUAAUGUGUGAUAUCAUCAAGGCGGAGGUGCUGGCCGCAGUGCAACAGUUCUUUCAUGGGGAUAACCGCAACUUUGAAUUGCUUAACGAAGCCCUAAUCAUCCUGCUACCAAAGGAGGAUGCGGUGGACAUUGGCGAUUACUGCCCCAUAAGCCUUCUUCAUAGUUUUGCAAAGAUCAUCACAAAGAUUCUUGCGGGCCUUCUUGCAAAAAAGUUGGGCAGUCUAGUGGGGCGCAAUCAGAGUACAUUUUACUUCAGGAAGAAGUAUUCAGGACAACUUCGCCUUGGUCCACCAGACGGUUAA